AUGAGUUAAGUAUAAACCCCUUUACAAGUAUCAAUUGGAGGGCAAGUCUGGUGCCAGCAGCCGCGGUAAUUCCAGCUCCAAUAGCGUAUAUUAAAGUUGUUGCAGUUAAAAAGCUCGUAGUUGGAUUUCUGUUAAUAAUUUAUAUAAUAUUUUAACGGUAUUAUAUAAUAUUAACAUAAUUCAUAUUACUAUAAUUUAUUUAGUAUAUGAAAUUUUACUUUGAGAAAAUUAGAGUGCUUAAAGCAGGCAUUUGCCUUGAAUACUCCAGCAUGGAAUAAUAUAAAAGAUUUUUAUCUUUUUUAUUGGUUCUAAGAUAAAAAUAAUGAUUAAUAGGGACAGUUGGGGGCAUUUGUAUUUAACAGUCAGAGGUGAAAUUCUUAGAUUUGUUAAAGACAAACUAAUGCGAAAGCAUUUGCCAAGGAUGUUUUCAUUAAUCAAGGACGAAAGUUAGGGGAUCGAAGACGAUCAGAUACCGUCGUAGU
RNAcentral lists this ribosomal RNA (482 nucleotides) under Cryptosporidium sp. vole genotype II. Its description in RNAcentral is "SSU rRNA". It matches the Rfam family "Eukaryotic small subunit ribosomal RNA", at positions 514 to 1024 of the family's 1831-position model. Lineage: Eukaryota; Apicomplexa; Conoidasida; Eucoccidiorida; Cryptosporidiidae. The record is from RNAcentral.